CCCGCUANCUACGUCCCAGCAGCCGCGUUAAUACGUAGGGUGCAAGCGUAUUCCGAAUAUUNGGCGUAAAGGGCUCGUAGGCGNUUCGUCGCGUCCGUGUGNAAAGUCCAUCGCUNAACGGUGGAUCCGCGCCGGGUACGGGCCGGCUUGAGUGCGUAGGGANNGACUGGAAUUCCCGGGUGUAACGGUGGAAUGUGUAGAUAUCGGGAAGACANNCCAUGNNCGAAGGCAGGUCUCUGGGCCGUUACUGACGCUGAGGAGCGAAAGCGUGGGGAGCGAACAGGAUUAGAUACCCUGGUAGUCCACGCCGUAAACGGUGGAUGCUGGAUGUGGGGCCCGUUCCACGGGUUCCGUGUCGGAGCUAACGCGUUAAGCAUCCCGCCUGGGGAGUACGGCCGCAAGGCUAAAACUCAAAGAAAUUGACGGGGGCCCGCACAAGCGGCGGAGCAUGCGGAUUAAUUCGAUGCAACGCGAAGAACCUUACCUGGGUUUGACAUGUUCCCGACGGUCGUAGAGAUACGGCUUCCCUUCGGGGCGGGUUCACAGGUGGUGCAUGGUCGUCGUCAGCUCGUGUCGUGAGAUGUUGGGUUAAGUCCCGCAACGAGCGCAACCCUCGCCCCGUGUUGCCAGCGGAUUAUGCCGGGAACUCACGGGGGACCGCCGGGGUUAACUCGGAGGAAGGUGGGGAUGACGUCAGAUCAUCAUGCCCCUUACGUCCAGGGCUUCACGCAUGCUACAAUGGCCGGUACAACGGGAUGCGACGCGGCGACGCGGAGCGGAUCCCUGAAAACCGGUCUCAGUUCGGAUCGCAGUCUGCAACUCGACUGCGUGAAGGCGGAGUCGCUAGUAAUCGCGAAUCAGCAACGUCGCGGUGAAUGCGUUCCCGGGCCUUGUACACACCGCCCGUCAAGUCAUGAAAGUGGGCAGCACCCGAAGCCGGUGGCCUAACCCCUUGU
This 956-nucleotide ribosomal RNA is filed under the name human gut metagenome. Its description in RNAcentral is "bacterial SSU rRNA". It matches the Rfam family "Bacterial small subunit ribosomal RNA", at positions 493 to 1446 of the family's 1533-position model. The record is from RNAcentral.